UCCGGCUCGGGCUGGGCAGCCCCGGGCCAGCAUGCCACCCUCUCUGGUCGCCGCGGCGGCAGCGGCAGACCUUGCCUCCCCCCCCCCCUCCUCCUCCACCCCCAUUUUGGUAAUUCUUCAGCCUCGGGCUUCUUAGCCUCGCUCCCUCCCCUUGAUCCAUGCUGACGCCCCUCGGGAUCUGGGAGAGCCAUGGCGAGCCAGGGGGACUGCUGUGUCAAGGUGGCGGUGAGGAUCCGACCCCAGCUGUCGAAGGAGAAGAUCGAGGGCUGCCACAUCUGCACGUCGGUCACCCCGGGGGAGCCCCAGGUGUUGCUGGGAAAGGACAAGGCCUUCACAUAUGACUUCGUCUUUGACCUGGACACCUUGCAGGAACAGAUCUACACAGCGUGCGUGGGGAAGCUCAUCGAGGGAUGCUUUGAGGGCUACAAUGCCACCGUGCUGGCAUAUGGUCAGACCGGGGCUGGGAAGACCUACACAAUGGGCACAGGCUUUGACGUGAGCACGGCAGAGGACGAACAUGGCAUUAUCCCACGUGCCAUCACCCACCUCUUCGGGGGCAUCGAGGAGCGGAAACGGCGGGCUCAGGAGCAGGGUCUGGUCGGGCCAGAAUUCAAAGUCAGCGCCCAGUUCCUGGAGCUGUACAAUGAGGAAAUCCUGGACCUGUUCGACAGUACCCGGGACCCAGACUCCCGACACCGUAAAUCCAACAUCAAGAUCCACGAGGAUGCCAGCGGUGGCAUUUAUACUACGGGUGUCACCUCGCGGCUUAUUGGCUCUCAGGAGGAGCUAAUCCAGUGUCUGAAGCAGGGGGCCCUGUCCCGCACCACUGCCAGCACCCAGAUGAAUGUGCAGAGCUCCCGCUCCCAUGCCAUCUUCACCAUCCACCUGUGCCAGAUGCGCCUCUGUGCCCGGCCCGACCUGGUGAAUGGAGAGGGGCCUGGGCUUCCGGAGGGCUCAGCUCCCAGCAGUGAGUACGAGACCCUCACAGCCAAAUUCCACUUUGUGGAUCUGGCAGGCUCAGAGAGGCUGAAGAGGACAGGGGCCACGGGCGAACGGGCCAAAGAAGGCAUCUCCAUCAACUGCGGCCUGCUGGCCCUGGGCAAUGUGAUCAGUGCCCUGGGUGACCAGAGCAAGAAGGUGGUCCACGUCCCGUACCGAGACUCCAAGCUCACCCGCCUCCUGCAGGACUCACUAGGAGGCAACAGCCAGACCAUCAUGAUCGCCUGCGUGAGCCCCUCGGACCGGGACUUUAUGGAAACGCUCAACACCCUCAAGUACGCCAAUCGGGCCCGCAACAUCAAGAACAAAGUGGUGGUCAACCAGGACAAGACCAGCCAGCAGAUCAGCGCCCUUCGGGCCGAGAUAGCCCGCCUGCAGAUGGAGCUGCUGGAGUACAAGACGGGCAAGCGGGUGCUGGGUGAGGACGGCGCAGAGGGCUACAGUGACCUGUACCGGGAGAAUGCGAUGCUGCAGAAGGAGAAUGCGGCCCUGCGCCUGCGGGUCAAGGCCAUGCAAGAAGCCAUCGAUGCCAUCAACAGCCGCGUUACCCACCUCAUGAGCCAAGAGGCCAACUUGCUCCUUGCCAAGGCUGGUGACGGCAAUGAGGCCAUUGGGGCCUUAAUUCAGAAUUACAUCCGGGAGAUCGAGGAACUGCGAACAAAGCUCCUGGAGAGUGAGGCCAUGAAUGAAUCUCUGCGACGAAGCCUCUCUCGGGCAUCUGCUCGCGGCCCCUACUCCUUGGGGGGCUCCCCGGCUCCCUCUGGUCUCGGGAUGCUGGGCAGCCCAGCAGGAUCCAUGGAGGCAGAGGCCUCUGAAGUGAUCCGCAAGGCCAAGCAAGACCUGGAACGACUGAAGGAGACCAGGCAGAGAAGAAAGAGCCCAGAGAAGGAGGGAUUUAAGAAGAGAGCAAAACUACAGCAGGAGAACCGAGAGGAGUCAGACGAGAACGAGGAGGAGGAGGAAGAGGAGGAGGAGCCAGACGAGAGCGGCUGUGAGGAAGAGGAAGGGCGAGAAGAUGAAGACUCGGACUCAGCCAGUGAGGAAAGCCUAGUGGACUCAGACUCGGACCCCGAGGAAAAGGAGGUGACCUUCCAGGCUGACCUGGCCGACCUGACCUGUGAGAUCGAGAUCAAGCAGAAGCUGAUUGAUGAGCUGGAGAAUAGUCAGCGGCGGCUGCAGACACUCAAGCACCAGUAUGAGGAGAAGCUCGUCCUGCUGCAGAACAAGAUCCGGGACACCCAGCUGGAGAGGGACCGCGUGCUCCAGAACCUCAGUACCAUGGAGUGCUACACAGAGGAGAAGGCCAACAAGAUCAAGGCCGACUACGAGAAGCGUCUGCGAGAGAUGAACCGGGACCUGCAGAAACUGCAGGCGGCACAGAGAGAGCACACCAGGCUGCUCAAAAACCAGUCACGCUACGAGAGGGAGCUGAAGAAGCUGCAGGCUGAAGUGGCCGAGAUGAAGAAAGCCAAGGUGGCCCUGAUGAAACAAAUGAGGGAGGAGCAGCAGCGGCGCCGCUUGGUGGAAACCAAAAGGAACCGUGAGAUUGCGCAGCUCAAGAAGGAGCAGCGACGGCAGGAGUUCCAGAUCCGAGCCCUGGAGUCCCAGAAGCGGCAGCAGGAGAUUGUGCUAAGGAGGAAAACCCAAGAGGUGACAGCCCUGCGGCGACUGGCCAAACCCAUGUCGGACCGGGUGGCGGGACGGGCGGGCCUCAAGCCACCCAUGCUGGACUCUGGGGCUGAGGUGUCGGCCAGCACCACCUCGUCAGAUGCAGAAGCAGGAGGCCGCUCUGUCUCCAGUAUCGUGCGCCAGUGGAACCGCAAAAUCAACCACUUCCUGGGGGACCCCGGACCCUCUGUGAAUGGCAUCCGCCCGGCCAGGAAGAAGCCUCAGAAGAAGGGGCCCGGCCAGAGCUUCAGCAAGGCCGCCCGACUCAAGUGGCAGUCCCUGGAGCGGCGCAUCCUGGACAUCGUCAUGCAGCGGAUGACCAUCGUCAACCUGGAGGCCGACAUGGAGCGGCUCAUCCAGAAACGGGAGGAGCUGUCCCUGCUGCAGGAGACACUGCGCAGGAAGCGGGAGAAGCUGCAGGCGGAGAGUCCCGAGGAGGAGAAGGGCCUGCAGGAGCUGAGUGAGGAGAUCGAGGCCCUGACGGCCAACAUCGACUACAUCAACGACAGCAUCUCGGACUGUCAGGCCACCAUCGUGCAGCUGGAGGAGACCAAGGAGGAGCUGGACUCCACGGACACCUCAGUGGUCAUCAGCUCCUGCUCUCUGGCAGAAGCCCGCCUCCUACUGGACAACUUCCUCAAGGCAUCCAUUGACAAGGGGCUGCAGGUGGCCCAGAAGGAGGCCCAGAUCCGGCUGCUGGAGGGGCGGCUGAGGCAGACCGAUGUGACCGGGUCUUCCCAGAAUCACUUGAUCCUGGACGCGCUGCGGGAGAAGGCCGAGGCUCACCCGGAGCUGCAGGCUCUCAUCCACAAUGUGCAGCAAGAGAACGGCUAUGCCAGCACUGAUGAGGAGAUCUCUGAGUUCUCAGAGCCCAGCUUCUCCCAGUCAUUCACCAUGAAGGGUUCCACCAGCCAUGAUGACUUCAAGUUCAAGGGGGAGCCCAAGUUGUCGGUACAGAUGAAGGCUGUGUCAGCUGAGUGCCUGGGCCCCCCACUGGACAUCGCCACCAAGAACAUCACCAAGUCCCUGGCCUCGCUCACAGAAAUCAAGGAGGAUGCUGUGGGCUUCUCCGUCCGUGACUCCUGCUACCGGGACAGCGUCUCCCGCACCAUCAGCCUUCCCUCCCGCGGCAGCACCUUCCCCCGGCAGUCCCGCGCCUCGGACACCUCGCCCCUGACACGGAGGAAGUCCUAUGACCGCGGGCAGCCCAUCAGGUCUUCAGACGUGGGGUUCACUCCCCCCUCAUCCCCCCCAACCCGCCCCCGAAACGAUCGCAACGUCUUCUCACGUCUUACCAGUAACCAGAGCCAGGGCUCCGCACUGGACAAGUCUGACGACAGUGAUUCCUCUGUUUCGGAGGUCCUGAGGGGAAUCAUCAACCCGGUGGGCGGGGCCAAGAGCGCCCGGACGGCCCCGCUGCAGUGCAUCGCCGUGGCCGAGGGUCACACCAAGCCCAUCCUCUGCCUGGACGCCACCGACGAGCUCCUUUUCACUGGGUCCAAAGACCGCAGCUGUAAGAUGUGGAACCUGGUGACGGGGCAGGAGAUCGCCGCCCUCAAGGGCCACCCCAACAACGUGGUGUCCGUCAAGUUCUGCGCCCGCUCCAGCCUGGUGUUCUCCGUCUCCACCUCCUACAUCAAGGUCUGGGACAUCCGGGACUCCGCCCAGUGCGUGCGCACCUUAACGUCAUCUGGACAGGUGAUCUCAGGGGACGCCUGUGCCAGCACUUCCACCCGCCCCAUGACCAGCGCUCCUGGUGAGCAGCAGAUCAACCAGAUCGCCCUCAGCCCCUCAGGCACCACCCUGUACGCCGCCUCUGGAAACUCCGUCCGCAUCUGGGAGCUCAGCAGGUUCCAGCCCAUGGGGAAGCUGACAGGACACAUCGGGCCCGUGAUGUGCCUCACGGUGAACCAGACCUCCAGCCGCCAUGACCUGGUGGUGACCGGCUCCAAGGAUCACUACGUCAAGAUGUUUGAACUGGCUGAGGGAGUGGCCGGCAACGUGGGCCCCACUCACAACUUUGAGCCCCCACACUACGAUGGCAUCGAGUGCCUGGCCAUCCAGGGCAACCUGCUCUUCAGUGGGUCUCGGGACAACGGUGUCAAGAAGUGGGACUUGGAGCAACAGGAGCUUAUGCAGCAAAUCCCCAAUGCACACAAGGACUGGGUGUGUGCCCUGGCCUUCGUCCCCGGGCGUCCCAUGCUGCUCAGCGCCUGCCGUGGGGGCGUCAUUAAGGUGUGGAACGGGGACAACUUCACUCCCGUCGGUGAGAUCAAAGGUCAUGACAGCCCCAUCAAUGCCAUCUGCACCAAUUCCAGGCACAUCUUCACUGCCUCCAGUGACUGCCGGGUAAAGUUGUGGAGUUACGUGCCUGGACUCACCCCCUGCCUCCCGCGACGGGUCCUGGCCAUAAAGGGUCGAGCCACUAGCCUGCCUUGACCCUCCUCCCCCUCCCCCCUUCUCUCCAUUCUCUCUCUCCCUUUCCCUUUCCUUCUCUUUCUCCACUUCGGUCCAAGCUGCUUCUUAACGUGACUUGACGGUGAAGCUCUGGAGCGGAAGGCGUCUGCCCAAAGGCACGGGAUAGGAAGAACGGGGAGCGACAGGCGGGAUCAGAGAUGCAGCGCUCCACCGGCCCAUGUCACGCACAGCCUUCCUCAAGGUGUCCCCAGCGCUCCCCGAGCCCCCGGGAAGAGGCAACCCAGCUGGUCUGGUGCCCUUUCUGGGGCUCAGGGGCUCUGAUUCUGCUCCUCUGCCUCCUCUCCUGGGCUGGGGUCUGUGCUGGGACCCUCAGGGGUCCUCGGGGGGAGACAGGCUCGGGCUCAGUGAGACUAGGGGGCCAGAGGAGUAGGCGGAUACCAAGCUGUGAAGCCCAAGGGCCUUUUCCAUCCGCCUUCUCUCCCUUCCCUCCUCCCCUCAGGCCUCAUCCUGCUCUCCCAUUGAGCUGCCUAUUCCCCGCCACCCCCCCUGCUGAGCCACUGACCCUCUCACCCCUCUGCUGACCCCAGGGGAGCCAGGUGCUGCCCUCAGCCUGGCCUGAGACAGCCCAAGGCUGAACCCUCCCCCUUUCCCACCAUGGUCCCUUGUGGCCCCCUGAGCUGGAGAUGGAUCCUUGUCAGGAAAUCAGACUCUGACCUACAAGAGCUAAGGGCCACAAAGUUCACAGGAAAAGGGUCCCAAUCCUCAGAGACUGUCUUCCCAGCCUCAAGUAGGGGGUUGUCAUGUCUCAGAGCUCCCACCCGCCCCCUCCAACUGCCCCAGACCCUCCCCAAACCUCUCCGCCUGUGCCAGCUGCCUCUGAGCCAGCUUCUCCCCUCUGUGGGGGCCUGCUGUGAAUCUGAAAACUGAAUCCCCUCCCCUGCCUCCCCCUGCCCCCACCAUGCAUCACAUCCCCAGAACCACCAUACCCUGAGCCAUUUCCCAGACAUUUCCUGGAUGUUACCAGGGGUACCCGGGGACAGGGAUGAUAACCCGAGGUGGUAACCGGGGUAUCUCUCCCAGCAGACAUUGGCCCUGAGUUUUCCCUUCCUCCCCCACAUCUCCAGCAGGGCAGCCAAUGGAGUCCAGGGAGGUGAGGGGGAGAGGAAAGCUCAGGGAUAACCAUUUCCUAACUACAGAGCUGUCAGAAAGACGCUCCCUAGGAAAGGGGUGAGCAACUCCUGGGUUUGGGGCGGG
Tachyglossus aculeatus (Australian echidna) is the source of this 6339-nucleotide RNA transcript. It is a transcript of the gene named kinesin family member 21B, with no coding region annotated. The transcript is spliced from 36 exons. The record is from RefSeq and is a predicted model, not a curated record. Lineage: Eukaryota; Metazoa; Chordata; Mammalia; Monotremata; Tachyglossidae.